UACGUAGGGUGCGAGCGUUAAUCGGAAUUACUGGGCGUAAAGCGUGCGCAGGCGGUUUGUUAAGACAGGUGUGAAAUCCCCGGGCUCAACCUGGGAAUGGCGCUUGUAACUGGCAGGCUAGAGUGUGUCAGAGGGAGGUAGAAUUCCACGUGUAGCAGUGAAAUGCGUAGAGAUGUGGAGGAAUACCGAUGGCGAAGGCAGCCUCCUGGGAUAACACUGACGCUCAGGCACGAAAGCGUGGGGAGCGAACAGG
This 253-nucleotide ribosomal RNA is filed under the name uncultured bacterium. RNAcentral's name for it is "partial 16S ribosomal RNA". It matches the Rfam family "Bacterial small subunit ribosomal RNA", at positions 524 to 776 of the family's 1533-position model. The record is from RNAcentral.